RNAcentral lists this ribosomal RNA (520 nucleotides) under uncultured bacterium. Its description in RNAcentral is "bacterial SSU rRNA". It matches the Rfam family "Bacterial small subunit ribosomal RNA", at positions 120 to 674 of the family's 1533-position model. The record is from RNAcentral.
GGGAAUCUGCCCUUGGGUUCGGAAUAACAGUUAGAAAUGACUGCUAAUACCGGAUGAUGUCUUCGGACCAAAGAUUUAUCGCCCAGGGAUGAGCCCGCGUAGGAUUAGGUAGUUGGUGGGGUAAGAGCCUACCAAGCCGACGAUCCUUAGCUGGUCUGAGAGGAUGAUCAGCCACACUGGGACUGAGACACGGCCCAGACUCCUACGGGAGGCAGCAGUGGGGAAUAUUGGACAAUGGGCGAAAGCCUGAUCCAGCAAUGCCGCGUGAGUGAUGAAGGCCUUAGGGUUGUAAAGCUCUUUUACCCGGGAUGAUAAUGACAGUACCGGGAGAAUAAGCUCCGGCUAACUUCGUGCCAGCAGCCGCGGUAAUACGAGGGGAGCUAGCGUUAUUCGGAAUUACUGGGCGUAAAGCGCUCGUAGGCGGCUUUGUAAGUAAGGGGUGAAAGCCCAGAGCUCAACUCUGGAAUAGCCUUUUAGACUGCAUCGCUUGAAUCCAGGAGAGGUGAGUGGAAUUCCGAGU